RNAcentral lists this ribosomal RNA (759 nucleotides) under Pleospora sp. HQD54. Its description in RNAcentral is "bacterial SSU rRNA". The stretch from base 176 to 759 matches the Rfam family "Eukaryotic small subunit ribosomal RNA", at positions 1 to 1034 of the family's 1831-position model. Lineage: Eukaryota; Fungi; Ascomycota; Dothideomycetes; Pleosporales; Pleosporaceae. The record is from RNAcentral.
GAGGCCCUACAACUCACUAGUCGAACGCAUCCGUCAGUGGCGGGUGGAUGCCGGCGAGACAACCUGGAUCGGGGAAGGCUAAGGGCCCCAGGCCUAUGCUAAUCCCGAGCGGAGCUACCCUGUAGCCCGUGUAGAGCGCGGAAAGGUGUCGGUCUUGCGAGCGCAAGGCUUAAGGGACGUGCCAGACCCUGCAGAAAUGCAGGCCAGCUACUCGAGCGCCCGCCGCGCGAAGGUAGUUGGGCGCUAUAGCGUGCUAUAGCGUCGUAUAGUGGGUAACUAAAACGGCCAGCAGCCGCGGUAAUUCCAGCUCCAAUAGCGUAUAUUAAAGUUGUUGCAGUUAAAAAGCUCGUAGUUGAACCUUGGGCCUGGCUGGCCGGUCCGCCUCACCGCGUGCACUGGUUCGGCCGGGCCUUUCCCUCUGGGGAACCCCAUGCCCUUCACUGGGUGUGGCGGGGAACCAGGACUUUUACUGUGAAAAAAUUAGAGUGUUCAAAGCAGGCCUAUGCUCGAAUACAUCAGCAUGGAAUAAUAGAAUAGGACGUGCGGUUCUAUUUUGUUGGUUUCUAGGACCGCCGUAAUGAUUAAUAGGGACAGUCGGGGGCAUCAGUAUUCAAUUGUCAGAGGUGAAAUUCUUGGAUUUAUUGAAGACUAACUACUGCGAAAGCAUUUGCCAAGGAUGUUUUCAUUAAUCAGGAACGAAAGUUAGGGGAUCGAAGACGAUUUAAUCACUGUAUUUGGUCGUCCAAAGUGCAAGCUAGU